This 334-nucleotide unclassified non-coding RNA is filed under the name soil metagenome. RNAcentral describes it as "partial contains 5.8S ribosomal RNA, internal transcribed spacer 2, and large subunit ribosomal RNA". The stretch from base 1 to 120 matches the Rfam family "5.8S ribosomal RNA", at positions 35 to 154 of the family's 154-position model. The record is from RNAcentral.
GAUGAAGAACGUAGUGAAAUGCGAUAAGUAGUGUGAAUUGCAGAAUUCAGUGAAUCAUCGAAUCUUUGAACGCACAUUGCGCCCGCCAGUAUUCUGGCGGGCAUGCCUGUUCGAGCGUCAUUUCAACCAUCAAGCCCCAGGCUUGUGUUGGAGCCCUGCGGCUGCCGCAGCCUCCCAAAACCAGUGGCGGGCUCGCUAUCACACCGAGUGCAGUAGUUUACUCUUCGCUCAGGGCGUGUGGCGGGUGCUAGCCGUAAAACCCCCAACUUCUCAAGGUUGACCUCGGAUCAGGUAGGAAUACCCGCUGAACUUAAGCAUAUCAAUAAGCGGAGGA